UAGUGCCGAGCCUCAGCUGCUC
This 22-nucleotide unclassified non-coding RNA is filed under the name Mus musculus (house mouse). RNAcentral's name for it is "oocyte_clustered_small_RNA5994". The record is from RNAcentral. Lineage: Eukaryota; Metazoa; Chordata; Mammalia; Rodentia; Muridae.